RNAcentral lists this ribosomal RNA (492 nucleotides) under uncultured bacterium. Its description in RNAcentral is "partial 16S ribosomal RNA". It matches the Rfam family "Bacterial small subunit ribosomal RNA", at positions 36 to 507 of the family's 1533-position model. The record is from RNAcentral.
CUUUCCCUCUUUCUUUAGGCCUAACACAUGCAAGUCGAACGGCAGCACAGUAAGAGCUUGCUCUUACGGGUGGCGAGUGGCGGACGGGUGAGGAAUACAUCGGAAUCUACUUUUUCGUGGGGGAUAACGUAGGGAAACUUACGCUAAUACCGCAUACGACCUACGGGUGAAAGCAGGGGAUCUUCGGACCUUGCGCGAUUGAAUGAGCCGAUGUCGGAUUAGCUAGUUGGCGGGGUAAAGGCCCACCAAGGCGACGAUCCGUAGCUGGUCUGAGAGGACGAUCAGCCACACUGGAACUGAGACACGGUCCAGACUCCUACGGGAGGCAGCAGUGGGGAAUAUUGGACAAUGGGCGCAAGCCUGAUCCAGCCAUACCGCGUGGGUGAAGAAGGCCUUCGGGUUGUAAAGCCCUUUUGUUGGGAAAGAAAAGCAGCAGGUUAAUACCCCGCUGUUCUGACGGUACCCAAAGAAUAAGCACCGGCUAACUUCGUG